Long non-coding RNA from Sorghum bicolor (sorghum), 687 nucleotides. RefSeq lists it as uncharacterized. Lineage: Eukaryota; Viridiplantae; Streptophyta; Magnoliopsida; Poales; Poaceae. The transcript is spliced from 3 exons. The record is from RefSeq and is a predicted model, not a curated record.
AACCUAAAACACAUGUGAUUUGGCCAAAGUGUGUAAAGAGUUGCCCCAAAAUUUGUUAACAUCCACAGCUGAGCGAGCGCUGCCGCGCAUCCUGCGCGAGCGUCACUGAGCUUCCUGAGCGAGCGCCGCCGCGCGUCCUGCGCGAGCGCUGCCGUGCAUCCUGCGCGAGCGUCAUUGCGCUUCCUGUGCGAGCUCCACCGAGCGUUCCUGAUGGCAUCCACAACGGUCGGCUGCGAUGUCAGGGGUGCUGAGGACGCUUGGUCAUCGCAUCGGGUAUCUCCAUGCGAGACGAAGGUUUAUAUGAAGGUAUGGAUAAAGAGGCGCGGGAAGACGGAGUUACCACUAUGCUGAGGAUUGCGACAGAUCUGUUGAACAAAAGAUCUAGGAAGGAAGGCUGUUUGUUGUUGAAGGACACCGAGGAGGAUCAGCAGAAUGAAGAUUGAUGGUCAGAUACUAAGAAGACUUGAAGAUUUGGAUGAAAGAAGUUUGAUGGCAUUCGUUGUUGAUCGUUCUUUUGGUUAAGGUGGCGAAGCGGAGCUGUGUGAGUGCUUGGUUAAGUUUGAUACAGUUCGCUUUUAGUUCUUGGUUGCCUAGCUUCUGCUUUUCUCUUGUAUCUGGGAUAAUCUUCAUUGUAUUUCCGUUAUCUUGGUAAUGGAAAUGGGGUUAACCCUCGGUUCGAAAAAAAAA